Solanum tuberosum (potato) is the source of this 780-nucleotide long non-coding RNA. RefSeq lists it as uncharacterized. Lineage: Eukaryota; Viridiplantae; Streptophyta; Magnoliopsida; Solanales; Solanaceae. The record is from RefSeq and is a predicted model, not a curated record. The transcript is spliced from 2 exons.
CUAUUAGGGUAGAGGGGGGUGGUGAAUUAUUUUUUUUGAGAGGGGUUGAGAAUUUUCAGAUUUUUAUUUACAAUAGGGUUUCACUAUUUAUAAAUUUUCCGGCGCCGCCACCACCGGAUUCCGGCCAAGCUCGGACAGCCCUAAAACCCCCAUUUUUUCCCUCCCAUUUCUUCUCCAAACCAGAUCCAAGACCCCUUCUGGCUACUCUCACUUUGUCAUUUCUGGCAAAAUUCUGGUGAAAUCCCACCUCUUUUCCGACCAAACAACUCAACAGCUUCCCAACACCACCAUAUCUCCACCCAAAAACGACCAAGGAUCCACCACAAUCCCAUCUCUGGCGAAAACAUCCAAAUACCCGCCUGAAACCAGCAAGCCAUCGAGCUCGAAGCUCACAAUCAGAUCUCCACCACCCAAACGACCCCAAGUUCCAACUCCGGCAAGGAGCUCAAAGCUCCGAUGAACCGGAGCAAAUGAAGGCGAUGACCAGCCCCUUCCCCUCUCCCCUUUACAUAUUUUCUUUCGUUUUCGCAGGUGAACUACAACAACAACAACAACCAGCAGCUCUGACCUCUGGCAAAGAAGUCAGACCCAACCAAAUCUCAGCCAAAGCACACAUUGUCACUCCAUUUCCGGCAGACCACCGUUUCAAUACUGUUGGUACCCGGAGCUGCUUCCCAUUGAAGCUAUUCGAACAAAGUUCGAACAAUAUUUUGAUUCAUUAUCGUAUAUUAUUGACGAUAGAAAAAUCUAGGUUGUUUCUUAUAAUAUUUUAUUUUAUUA